GUGGUCCCACCUGACCCCAUGCCGAACUCAGAAGUGAAACGCCGUAGCGCCGAUGGUAGUGUGGGGCUUCCCCAUGCGAGAGUAGGGAACUGCCAGGC
This 98-nucleotide ribosomal RNA is filed under the name Escherichia albertii. Lineage: Bacteria; Pseudomonadati; Pseudomonadota; Gammaproteobacteria; Enterobacterales; Enterobacteriaceae. The record is from RNAcentral.